UGCAUUCAGUUGCCAUCGGGUAAUGCCGGGCACUCUGGAAGGACUGCCAUCGACAAGAUGGAGGAAGGUGGGGAUGACGUCAAGUCAUCAUGGCCCUUAUGUCCAGGGCGACACACGUGCUACAAUGGCCGGCACAACGGGAAGCGAGUUCGCGAGGACGAGCGGAUCCCUCAAAGCCGGUCGCAGUUCGGAUUGAAGUCUGCAACUCGACUUCAUGAAGCUGGAAUCGCUAGUAAUCGUGGAUCAGCCAAGCCGCGGUGAAUACGUUCCCGGGCCUU
RNAcentral lists this ribosomal RNA (278 nucleotides) under uncultured Synergistaceae bacterium. RNAcentral's name for it is "partial 16S ribosomal RNA". It matches the Rfam family "Bacterial small subunit ribosomal RNA", at positions 1106 to 1382 of the family's 1533-position model. The record is from RNAcentral. Lineage: Bacteria; Thermotogati; Synergistota; Synergistia; Synergistales; Synergistaceae.